Orcinus orca (killer whale) is the source of this 888-nucleotide long non-coding RNA. RefSeq lists it as uncharacterized. The record is from RefSeq and is a predicted model, not a curated record. Lineage: Eukaryota; Metazoa; Chordata; Mammalia; Artiodactyla; Delphinidae. The transcript has 3 exons.
AUUCCUCAUGAAGCUCCUGGCUUCAACCUGGCAAAUGCAAAGAGCUGGUCAACCUUCUUUUGCCUUGGAUCCCUUUGUACAGAAAUAGAGCCAAAUGACAACAUCCCUGCACAGGGAAUGAACACCAGAAGAUCUGUAAUCAAUAAUUCAACAUGCCUCCAGGAGAUGCAAAUUAUUACUAUAAAAUUAUGAGUUCAAUUUGGGCAAGACCUACAACUCUUUUCUUCACUAUUGACUCACCAGCACCGGAUAUACUGCCUGGAACAUAGAGGCACUCAAAGAUUUAUUCAGUACAUAAAGAAAUAAAAAUAAUCCAACAAUGUCAAAGUCUUUUGGGGGUAAUGCAUGUUAUAUAUUAUUUUCCGACUUUGAAUCUCUAGAACAAUUUUUAUGUUACCAUUUGGACAAUUAAAAUAUGAGUGUCCAGUGAUUAUUUACCAUUGUGGUACCUAAUUAGUACCUGCUCUUUAAUAUUUUGCCAAGCUGCCUCCCAAACAAGACUUGAAUGACAAGGACCAAAUACCUAAGUCCAUUCAUUCACUCAACAAAUGAGACACAGACACCGUUCUAGGGGCUGUAGCUACAGAGCUGUACAAAACAGGCAUGGUUCUCACCCUCCAGUGGACAUGGGCUAUCCUCAUAUUCGUUAAUUUAAUCUAUUAAAUUAAAUUAAAUCGAUUAAAUUCGUUAAUUUAAUCUAUUAAACAGAGCAUCAAGCUCUGUUGACGACAAAAGGUAGAUAACAAUAAACAAACAGGAAUUCCUGCCCUCCUGAGUUCACAUUCUUGUGUACAUGAGCUUAAAUGUGUACAUUACAGUACUUAGCCUCUAACGCUGAGAUUGUUAAUAUGUAUUUAAGGAUUUCAUGUCAAAACAUGUUAAGUUGGG